GCCUUCGUGGUGCAGUGGUCAGCACGCUGGGUGUGCAUUCGCGAGGUCCGUGGUUCGAGUCCUGGCGAGAGCA
RNAcentral lists this transfer RNA (73 nucleotides) under Stegodyphus mimosarum. It matches the Rfam family "tRNA". From Rfam's summary of the family: Transfer RNA (tRNA) molecules are approximately 80 nucleotides in length. Their secondary structure includes four short double-helical elements and three loops (D, anti-codon, and T loops). Further hydrogen bonds mediate the characteristic L-shaped molecular structure. tRNAs have two regions of fundamental functional importance: the anti-codon, which is responsible for specific mRNA codon recognition, and the 3' end, to which the tRNAs corresponding amino acid is attached (by aminoacyl-tRNA synthetases). tRNAs cope with the degeneracy of the genetic code in two manners: having more than one tRNA (with a specific anti-codon) for a particular amino acid; and 'wobble' base-pairing, i.e. permitting non-standard base-pairing at the 3rd anti-codon position. The record is from Rfam by way of RNAcentral. Lineage: Eukaryota; Metazoa; Arthropoda; Arachnida; Araneae; Eresidae.